CUACGGGUUGCUCCAGUGGGGAAUCUUGCACAAUGGGCGGAAGCCUGACGCAGCGACGCCGCGUGCGGGAAGAAGGCCUUCGGGUCGUAAACCGCUUUCAGCAGGGACGAGGCCGCGAGGUGACGGUACCUGCAGAAGAAGCCCCGGCUAACUACGUGCCAGCAGCCGCGGUAAUACGUAGGGGGCGAGCGUUAUCCGGAUUCAUUGGGCGUAAAGCGCUCGUAGGCGGCCUGUUAGGUCGGGAGUCAAAUCCGGGGGCUCAACCCCCGCACGCUCCCGAUACCGGCGGGCUUGAGUUUGGUAGGGGAAGGCGGAAUUCCAAGUGUAGCGGUGGAAUGCGCAGAUAUUUGGAAGAACACCGGUGGCGAAGGCGGCCUUCUGGGCCAACACUGACGCUGAGGAGCGAAAGCUAGGGGAGCGAACAGGAUUAGAUACCCGAGUAGUC
This 445-nucleotide ribosomal RNA is filed under the name uncultured bacterium. RNAcentral's name for it is "partial 16S ribosomal RNA". It matches the Rfam family "Bacterial small subunit ribosomal RNA", at positions 339 to 795 of the family's 1533-position model. The record is from RNAcentral.